Molecule: long non-coding RNA, 783 nt
Organism: Amphibalanus amphitrite
Lineage: Eukaryota; Metazoa; Arthropoda; Thecostraca; Balanomorpha; Balanidae
Exons: 2
Source: RefSeq, a predicted model, not a curated record
AAGCAUUUUUACACUCAUAUCGCCGUAUUAACACCACCGAAAGGUGUAAAUAGCAGGCUGAGCACUAUACGCAGGUCUAUAACACGGCAAUUACGCUUAGAAACUGAUCAAAGCGAAAUUACACCUCGUUGGUGUGCAAAUCACACCCAUACAACACCUUAUGGAAGUGCAAUUCUGAACUUUAACACCUAGCUUUUGUUCAUUUACGAAUAACACCUUCCUGUAGUGUAGAUGAUCGCGCUUCAUGUGUGCUGUGUUAUUGACAAAGGAUCCUUGAUCUGCAAUUGCCGCAUUUUUGUCUUGGCUCAACACUGCUCUGAAGUGUAAUGUACCGGACGGCAAAGGCGCAUGCGCGUGACGCCGCUCGCACCCACGCGGCUUUCAGUCCGCCAUUGUGCUUCAACGAACGUGGUUGUUAGUGUGCUGAGCUGGUGUGACUAUUGAGCAAAUUUGAAGACCCACCUGCUCCAGAACGGAGAAGGAACUCAAACACCUUCUACUCGAGAUGCGUGAGGAGCAGGUCGUUUUUGGCCCUGCGACAACGAACGGACCGUCCACCAUCGCAGAUGGCGCACUUUGGGUCGAAAGGGGGAAGAUCGCCGAAUUCCAAACAAAAUGGCGAACAUGCAGGACGAGCUGUACAUCACGAACAUCGCUAUCUUCUUCGAGCGCGCUCGAAGGCGCUGGACUCGAACGCCUAGCCCCGGUUCAUAUCGGACUCGCCGUUUCAUGUACUUGUUUCACCGAUCGACGUCCAAUAAACGUUAAAAUAUUCUGACAUUA